Long non-coding RNA from Marmota flaviventris (yellow-bellied marmot), 777 nucleotides. RefSeq lists it as uncharacterized. The record is from RefSeq and is a predicted model, not a curated record. Lineage: Eukaryota; Metazoa; Chordata; Mammalia; Rodentia; Sciuridae.
CCAGGGAUGAUGGCCAGCUGUCCUCCUUUGCCUCUGCAUGCAGAGCAAGGGGAAACGGGCUUAGACCGGAGGCAGGGCUAAGAUUAGAGAGCAGGAAGAACUUGGCAGUGAAGGAUGUUGUAUAACCUACUUUUCGAGACAACUUGGGGACUGAGGAGACUCCCACACUCCUGGUCUGGGCCCAGUGGACAUGAAUGUGGGGUUGAUCUGGCUGGCUGGCUGCGAACGGAGGAGGAGGUCCUGCGGCUGCAUCUCUCUUCGUGUCCUCGAUUUCCCGUUGGAAGUUAAGUUCCCAAAUUUUGGAGCUGGCAAGGCAGCACCUCCCCCACCCACCACGCACUGCACCAGUGUUCCUGGGCUGGGGGAAAACCUGGGCCGUGUAUGCAUUAGAUUGAUUUUAAGCGUGAUCUUUGCUUUUCCUGGAAGAAGACUGCUGUUGUGCUCCUGUGUGGCUUGGGAGUGAUUGUGAAUGUGCCAGGAGUGUCAGUACCAGGAGAUGGUGCUACUCAUGGAAGCAGAGGUUAUGAAAUGAAAGGAGGUAGAAGAUGGCUCAGAUUCCUAGGUGAGGGAGACAAAUCCGGAGACUAUAAAGACUCUCCGAGACUUCUGGUUCAAUUCCCUUGUUACAAAUGAAGAAACUGAGGUCAAGAGAGAAUCUCACGUGUCAGGCCUUCAAGAAGAUUCCCAAAUCCUUGUGGAAUUCGAUAAUGGGUGUUGGAGAAUGGAAUCGACAUCUCCUUGGGAAGAAUUGCCUAGAGUACCUAGAGAUUCAUUAAA